GCGCCCGUAGCUCAUCUGGAUAGAGCAUCGGCCUUCUAAGCCGAGGGUAGCAGGUUCGACUAAAAUUGCUGGGAGCA
Molecule: transfer RNA, 77 nt
Filed under: hydrothermal vent metagenome
Description: tRNA-Arg-TCT
Rfam family: tRNA
About the family: Transfer RNA (tRNA) molecules are approximately 80 nucleotides in length.
Source: RNAcentral